GAGAGAGAGAGAGAGAGAGAGAAAGGAGAGUUAGAGAGCAGACAGCCUACAUCACAUUGCUACUGCCUGGGCCUUCUGCCUUCUCAUAACAUACACACCCUUCACACAGAGAGAUAAGAAGGUUGGCAGAGUAGGAGGAAAGCGGUAGGGAGGGAGAGCGAGAGAGAAUCAGAGACAGAUCGAGCAGAGAGAAAAAUAGACUGAGCGAGUCAGUCGGAGAGAGAGAGACGGAUAGAGAGAGAGGAGGUAGUUUAUACAGCAGUGAAGUGAACAGGGCUCAUCUGAAGGACAUAUCUGACACUCUCCUCUCAUCUGGUCACCCAGAGGAGCAGGGAGCUGAAGAGCGGAGAGGUGGCGUAUAUGAGCCAAACCCCCAGGCAGAGACAGUGGGGGAGACUGAAGGGCGUGGAGGUGGAGUAUAUGAGCCAAACCCCCAGGUAGAGACAGCGGGGGAGACUGAAGGGCGUGGAGGUGGAGUAUAUGAGCCAAACCCCCAGGCAGAGACAGCGGGGGAGACUGAAGGGCGUGGAGGUGGAGUAUAUGAGCCAAACCCCCAGGCAGAGACAGCGGGGGAGACUGAAGGGCGUGGAGGUGGAGUAUAUGAGCCAAACCCCCAGGCAGAGACAGCGGGGGAGACUGAAGGGCGUGGAGGUGGAGUAUAUGGGCCAAACCCCCAGGCAGAGACAGACAGAAAAGUAAGAGGACCUAUCAAUUUCCUAACAGUGAGUGUUAGAUACUGGGCUUCCUCCUGCUCUU
This is a long non-coding RNA of Oncorhynchus keta (chum salmon), 756 nucleotides long. RefSeq lists it as uncharacterized. NCBI's taxonomy places the organism in Eukaryota, Metazoa, Chordata, Actinopteri, Salmoniformes, Salmonidae. The transcript has 3 exons. The record is from RefSeq and is a predicted model, not a curated record.